Molecule: ribosomal RNA, 445 nt
Filed under: uncultured bacterium
Lineage: Bacteria
Description: partial 16S ribosomal RNA
Rfam family: Bacterial small subunit ribosomal RNA
Source: RNAcentral
GUGAGGAAUAUUGGACAAUGGGCGCAAGCCUGAUCCAGCCAUGCCGCGUGCAGGAAGACGCAUCUAUGGUGUGUAAACUGCUUUUGUACGGGAAGAAACACUCCCUCGUGAGGGAGCUUGACGGUACCGUAAGAAUAAGGAUCGGCUAACUCCGUGCCAGCAGCCGCGGUAAUACGGCGGAUCCAAGCGUUAUCCGGAAUCAUUGGGUUUAAAGGGUCCGUAGGCGGUUUAAUAAGUCAGUGGUGAAAGCCCAUCGCUCAACGAUGGAACGGCCAUUGAUACUGUUAGACUUGAAUUACAAGGAAGUAACUAGAAUAUGUAGUGUAGCGGUGAAAUGCUUAGAUAUUACAUGGAAUACCAAUUGCGAAGGCAGGUUACUACUUGUGGAUUGACGCUGAUGGACGAAAGCGUGGGGAGCGAACAGGAUUAGAAACCCGGGUAGUCC